CAAUAGCGUAUAUUAAAGUUGUUGCGGUUAAAAAGCUCGUAGUUGGAUUUCUGCCGAGGACGACCGGUCCGCCCUCUGGGUGUGUAUCUGGUUUGGCCUGGGCAUCUUCUUGGAGAACGUAGCUGCACUUGACUGUGUGGUGCGGUGUCCAGGACUUUUACUUUGAGGAAAUUAGAGUGUUUCAAGCAGGCACACGCCUUGAAUACAUUAGCAUGGAAUAAUAAGAUAGGACCUCGGUUCUAUUUUGUUGGUUUCUAGAGCUGAGGUAAUGAUUAAUAGGGAUAGUUGGGGGCAUUCGUAUUUAACUGUCAGAGGUGUAAUUCUUGGAUUUGUUAAAGACGGACUACUGCGAAAGCAUUUGCCAAGGAUGUUUUCAUUGA
RNAcentral lists this ribosomal RNA (380 nucleotides) under uncultured eukaryote. RNAcentral describes it as "partial 18S ribosomal RNA". It matches the Rfam family "Eukaryotic small subunit ribosomal RNA", at positions 592 to 976 of the family's 1831-position model. The record is from RNAcentral.